This 1016-nucleotide long non-coding RNA is filed under the name Vulpes vulpes (red fox). RNAcentral's name for it is "lncRNA (ENSVVUG00000011691.1)". Lineage: Eukaryota; Metazoa; Chordata; Mammalia; Carnivora; Canidae. The record is from RNAcentral.
AAUUUCUGUUUAAUCUUAAUAGCCUUGGUUAUUCAUUACUGAGCGCAAAGGGAGUAGGAAGAAUUGGAUUGUAUUACUUGAGGCUAACCACAGACAUCUGAAGCCAAACAUUUAUGACUCCCAAUCAGUAAUCUCCAUUCUACCCCAUUUGCUUCUUCUCUUCUCCAUAAAGUUUAUGAUAAUGGAACUCUUCUGAGGCAUUCUGGGUACUGAGAGGUGAAAGGGAACCUGAUGAGAACAUGGAAGAGGCCCCAGCAGGCAAGAACCCAGGUUAAGACCCCUUCCCCCUCAUGAAUGGCACUAACUGCUAUGGAGGAAAAGAGCAAGAAGGAGGGGCUGAGAUUGGGAUGUGAACUUCACGAAGAUAUUGAGCUAAGAUCUGCAGGAGCUGCCCAGAGCUGGUUACUUCUGCACCUGUCAGCGCAUGCUCAGUGAGGAAAAGUGCUUAAGAGUUUCCUUUCCUCUGGACUGGACUCAGGAGAUGCGGGAUAGGGCGCUCAAUGGUUGAGCAUCUACCUUCUGCUCAGAUUCUCCCCAGGCCACGGAUGUUUCUUUAUAGAACCACAGACUCUGUUCUGGAAAUCUCCUCAUCAUUCAUCUCACUGGUACCUGAGCUUAAAUUCCCAAGUUCUCAACAUUUCCAGUCCCCUUGGGAACUAGCAAGAAGGAGAUGUCUCAGAAAAACAAAAACCUUUACUCAAGCUGCAGAAAGGUGGGCACGGGAAAUUUGGCAAGCAAAGUCACAAACUUUAGGACAACCAAAGACUUCCUGGAGAAAAAAUGUGAAAAAAGAUGUGACUUUCAUUUUUUGUGUUCCUAUUUUUCUGGGUACUCAGAUCUCAGAAGCAUGUCAAGUUUUGACAUGGAGAUAAUUGCAUGAAGCAGGUAGUAUCAUAUACUCCUUUCACUGCUUGGCUGGGAAUUAGUACAUCUGAAUGGGGUUUUUCACAUGUUUAGUGGGACUGAAAUGUUGGGGAACCACAGACUAUUUGCAUUUUAUAGCAAUAGUAGUUUUU